RNAcentral lists this ribosomal RNA (387 nucleotides) under uncultured bacterium. Its description in RNAcentral is "bacterial SSU rRNA". It matches the Rfam family "Bacterial small subunit ribosomal RNA", at positions 30 to 417 of the family's 1533-position model. The record is from RNAcentral.
AUUGAACGCUGGCGGCAUGCUUUACACAUGCAAGUCGAACGGCAGCGCGGGCUUCGGCCUGGCGGCGAGUGGCGAACGGGUGAGUAAUAUAUCGGAACGUACCCAAGAGUGGGGGAUAACGUAGCGAAAGUUACGCUAAUACCGCAUACGAUCUAAGGAUGAAAGCAGGGGAUCGCAAGACCUUGUGCUCCUGGAGCGGCCGAUAUCUGAUUAGCUAGUUGGUGGGGUAAAGGCCUACCAAGGCAUCGAUCAGUAGCUGGUCUGAGAGGACGACCAGCCACACUGGGACUGAGACACGGCCCAGACUCCUACGGGAGGCAGCAGUGGGGAAUUUUGGACAAUGGGGGCAACCCUGAUCCAGCAAUGCCGCGUGAGUGAAGAAGGCCU